RNAcentral lists this ribosomal RNA (411 nucleotides) under Triticum aestivum (bread wheat). RNAcentral's name for it is "partial small subunit ribosomal RNA". The record is from RNAcentral. Lineage: Eukaryota; Viridiplantae; Streptophyta; Magnoliopsida; Poales; Poaceae.
AUGAAAUCGUGGAUGAUGCUCAUCAGUGUAUCUAUCUCCUCUUUCACUGGGUUGGCAAAAAUGAUGGCGUCGUCUGCAUAUAAACUUACACGCAAAUCAAGGUCUCUUCCUGGGAUCGGAUCGAGCUGGCCAAGCUCAGUGGCACGCUGGAGAAGCCUGUGGAGCGGAUCUAUGGCGAUGAUGAAGAGUAGCGGGGACAGUGGGUCACCUUGUCGAAGACCCCGUCGUAGCCAAAUUUUCUUUCCCGCUGCACCAUUUAGCAAAAAUGAAGAGGUCGACGUCUUCAGGAGCAUGGCUAUCCAGUCGCGCCAUCGAGCUGGGAAGCCGAGGGCCUGUAGGAGUUGCAGUAGAUAUUCCCACGAAACAUUGUCGAAGGCCUAUGUGCCCUAUCUCGACGCACCAAGGAAAUAA